Saccostrea cuccullata (small rock oyster) is the source of this 458-nucleotide long non-coding RNA. RefSeq lists it as uncharacterized. The transcript has 5 exons. The record is from RefSeq and is a predicted model, not a curated record. Lineage: Eukaryota; Metazoa; Mollusca; Bivalvia; Ostreida; Ostreidae.
UUUUGUUUUUAUCGGACGAAACUGUACGUCAUGAUUGACGUCAUCGGCUGUAACAGAAAUUGAAAACACAGCUCAGAGGAAAAAGGAUUUAUCAAGUCUCUGUUAAAACUGGAACUCGGUAUCACAUCUGACUCGCACUUCUGAAAUGGAUCAAAUCGGACUUUGUCGUCGAGACUCGGAAGAACCCAGCUGCCUCAAUGAUAAUGCCAGUGGAACUCAAAACAGAAAAGAUACUUGUAUGCAAGACAUGGAGAAAAGAGAAGACUUGGUGCCUCCAUGAAUUGAUGUUUUUAGGAUAACCAUGGAGGAUAUCCGAGGAAUAAAGGUUAACUCGGUAUAAAGUCUUGCUGACAUGAACAUGAUAAUCACAAGAAAGUGAAUAUAUUUCAUCACCUUAAGCAAUCUUCAAAAUACCAGAUUGGAAAAAGAAAGAAGAUUUGUAGCAUUGUAUUGAAUAU